AACGAACGCUGGCGGCAGGCCUAACACAUGCAAGUCGAGCGAGGACUUCGGUCCUAGCGGCGGACGGGUGAGUAACGCGUGGAACGUGCCCUUUGCUUCGGAAUAGCCCUGGGAAACUGGGAGUAAUACCGGAUGAGCCCUUUGGGGGAAAGAUUUAUCGGCGAAGGAUCGGCCCGCGUUGGAUUAGGUAGUUGGUGGGGUAAUGGCCUACCAAGCCGACGAUCCAUAGCUGGUUUGAGAGGAUGAUCAGCCACACUGGGACUGAGACACGGCCCAGACUCCUACGGGAGGCAGCAGUGGGGAAUCUUAGACAAUGGGGGAAACCCUGAUCUAGCCAUGCCGCGUGAGCGAUGAAGGCCUUAGGGUUGUAAAGCUCUUUCAGCUGGGAAGAUAAUGACGGUACCAGCAGAAGAAGCCCCGGCUAACUCCGUG
Molecule: ribosomal RNA, 432 nt
Filed under: uncultured bacterium
Lineage: Bacteria
Description: partial 16S ribosomal RNA
Rfam family: Bacterial small subunit ribosomal RNA
Source: RNAcentral